AUACUUACCUGGAUGGGGUCAAUGGGUGAUCAAGAAGGCCUAUGGCCUAGGUUGGUGACUUCCACUGCACUUAGGAGGGGUGCCUGCCUAACGUCUCCUCAGGUAGGAGAGCCUACAUCAUAAUUUGUUGUAGUGGGGACCUGCGUUCGCGCAGUCCCUG
Molecule: small nuclear RNA, 160 nt
Organism: Arachis duranensis
Lineage: Eukaryota; Viridiplantae; Streptophyta; Magnoliopsida; Fabales; Fabaceae
Product: U1 spliceosomal RNA
Exons: 1
Source: RefSeq, a predicted model, not a curated record